Argentina anserina (silverweed cinquefoil) is the source of this 1646-nucleotide RNA transcript. It is a transcript of the gene named putative ALA-interacting subunit 2, with no coding region annotated. NCBI's taxonomy places the organism in Eukaryota, Viridiplantae, Streptophyta, Magnoliopsida, Rosales, Rosaceae. The transcript is spliced from 10 exons. The record is from RefSeq and is a predicted model, not a curated record.
CUAAACAGGGUGCCUCCGUUAACUCUGGAGUUGCUCGGAAAGCUAAGAAUAAUUCACGAACGAUGAGACAGAUUGCAGUUUGUGUCAAACCCAAGUAAUCUCUUCCUUCUCUCACUCUCUAUUUCUCUCUCAGUUCCUCUACCAAUCUUCACUUAACAUUUCAUUUCUCAGGGUAAUUCUGUGGUUGGAAAAAUUUGAGGUGGUUAAAGUUGUGGCAUUUUUGGAAGAUUGAAUUUGAUGGAAGUGGAUGGAGGAAGAGUGGUAGAAGUGUCUACGGGCGAUCUAUCUGUUCCACGACAUACCAGAAAACAUAAAGCUUUCUAUCAGUUUACUCAGCAGAACCUCCCUGCUUGUAAACCUGUUCUCACACCAGCAUGGGUGAUUACUACAUUUUUGUUGAUGGGUGUCAUAUUCAUACCUCUUGGGCUUAUUACUCUUCAUGCCUCUGAUAAUGUUGUUGAAAUUGUGGACCGGUAUGAUAGUGAAUGUGUGCCAGAAGCAUUCAGAAGCAAUAAGGUUGCAUACAUCAAAGAUGAUUCAAUUCCCAAAAACUGUUCUCGAUACUUGAAGGUCGACAAACAUAUGAAAGCUCCAAUAAAUAUCUACUAUCAACUUGAUAACUACUAUCAGAACCACAGACGGUAUGUCAAAAGUAAAAAUGAUCAACAGCUUUUGCAUGGAUUGGGAUACAAUAACACGAGCUCCUGUGAACCUGAGGAAUUCAAUAAUGGUCGUCCAAUUGUUCCUUGUGGUUUGAUAGCAUGGAGUUUGUUCAAUGAUACAUAUACUCUUAUCCGUGGAAGAUCAGAGCUAAAGGUCAACAGGAAGAACAUAGCAUGGAAGAGUGACCGUGAUCACAAGUUUGGCAAGAGUGUAUAUCCCUUCAAUUUUCAGAAUGGGACCCUGAAGGGUGGUGGAAAUCUAGACCCAAAAAUCCCUCUGAGCAAUCAAGAAGAUCUUAUUGUAUGGAUGCGGACAGCUGCACUCCCCAGUUUCCGUAAGUUGUAUGGUAGAAUUGAAGAGGAUUUGAAUGCCGAUGAUGUUGUAGUAGUCAAUGUAACGAACAACUACAAUACUUAUAGUUUUGGUGGGAAAAAGAAGCUCAUUCUUACAACAACAGGCUGGUUAGGAGGAAAGAACAAUUUCCUCGGGCUUUCUUGCACAUCUGUUGGUUCAGCUUCCAUAUUCAUCUCUAUUGUCUUCUUGCUGCUCCACAUGAAAAAUCCCAGGAUUCUAUAAUCGCUCCAAAUCUGUUACCUUCUCAACUUUGCCGUGCUGUUGGCUGUCAGACCCAUGCGGGGAACAACUUAUUUGUACAUAUUGGAAGUUCAAAAUAAUAUCUAGUUGAAUAGGCGGUGGUACUAUGUGCGUAGUUUCGUAUGAGUGGACAAACGAAGUUAUGUAACCUCCAGAUAGAAAUUGCACAUUAACUGUAAAGGAGAUCAUGAAAAGAGUGAAAGGAAAUCAUGUUUUUGUGAAAGAUGAAGAAGAAAAACAAUAUCCAAGCGGCCAAGCCCCAAUGUAGUUAGGUACGUGUUAUGCUAGCAUUCUUUGGUCAUUAAUGACUGAUUUUUCUCUGUAUACUUGUGAAUAUAUAUAUCGUGCAAAGUUAUUUUAGUUGACAAGUUCUUAGUCAAGUGAGCUGA